UACGUAGGGUGCAAGCGUUGUCCGGAAUUAUUGGGCGUAAAGAGCUCGUAGGCGGUCUGUCGCGUCUGCUGUGAAAACUCGGGGCUUAACCCCGGGCCUGCAGUGGGUACGGGCAGACUAGAGUGCGGUAGGGGAGACUGGAAUUCCUGGUGUAGCGGUGAAAUGCGCAGAUAUCAGGAGGAACACCGGUGGCGAAGGCGGGUCUCUGGGCCGUAGCUGACGCUGAGGCGCGAAAGCCAGGGGAGCAAACGGG
Molecule: ribosomal RNA, 253 nt
Filed under: uncultured bacterium
Lineage: Bacteria
Description: partial 16S ribosomal RNA
Rfam family: Bacterial small subunit ribosomal RNA
Source: RNAcentral